GGCCAGACUCCUACGGGAGGCAGCAGUGAGGAAUAUUGGUCAAUGGGCGCGAGCCUGAACCAGCCAAGUCGCGUGAGGGAAGACGGUCCUAUGGAUUGUAAACCUCUUUUGUCGGGGAGCAAAAGACGCCACGCGUGGCGUUCCGAGAGUACCCGAAGAAAAAGCAUCGGCUAACUCCGUGCCAGCAGCCGCGGUAAUACGGAGGAUGCGAGCGUUAUCCGGAUUUAUUGGGUUUAAAGGGUGCGCAGGCGAAGUAUCAGGUCGGUGUUAAAGUUGGGGGGCCCACCCUUUCCGAGCCGUUGAAACUGGUUUUCUUGAGUGAGCGAGAAGUAUGCGGAAUGCGUGGUGUAGCGGUGAAAUGCAUAGAUAUCACGCAGAACUCCGAUUGCGAAGGCAGCCUGCCGCAGCGUUACUGACGCUGAAGCUCGAAAGCGCGGGUAUCGAACAGGAUUAGAUACCCCCGUAA
This 466-nucleotide ribosomal RNA is filed under the name uncultured bacterium. Its description in RNAcentral is "bacterial SSU rRNA". It matches the Rfam family "Bacterial small subunit ribosomal RNA", at positions 329 to 793 of the family's 1533-position model. The record is from RNAcentral.